UACGGGGGGGGCAAGCGUUGUUCAGAAUUACUGGGCGUAAAGGGCUCGUAGGCGGCCAACUAAGUCAGACGUGAAAUCCCUCGGCUUAACCGGGGAACUGCGUCUGAUACUGGAUGGCUUGAGUGUGGGAGAGGGAUGCGGAAUUCCAGGUGUAGCGGUGAAAUGCGUAGAUAUCUGGAGGAACACCGGUGGCGAAGGCGGCAUCCUGGACCACGACUGACGCUGAGUGAGCGAAAGCCAGGGGAGCAAACGGG
RNAcentral lists this ribosomal RNA (254 nucleotides) under uncultured bacterium. RNAcentral describes it as "partial 16S ribosomal RNA". It matches the Rfam family "Bacterial small subunit ribosomal RNA", at positions 524 to 776 of the family's 1533-position model. The record is from RNAcentral.